Molecule: ribosomal RNA, 502 nt
Filed under: uncultured bacterium
Lineage: Bacteria
Description: partial 16S ribosomal RNA
Rfam family: Bacterial small subunit ribosomal RNA
Source: RNAcentral
GACGAACGCUGGCGGCGUGCCUAAUACAUGCAAGUCGAACGAACCGCGACUAGGUGCUUGCACUUGGUCAAGGUGAGUGGCGAACGGGUGAGUAACACGUGGGUAACCUACCUCAUAGUGGGGGAUAACAGUCGGAAACGACUGCUAAUACCGCAUAGGACAUAGGAUCACAUGAUCCAGUGAGGAAAGGUGGCGCAAGCUAUCGCUAAGGGAUGGACCCGCGGUGCAUUAGCUAGUUGGUAGGGUAAAGGCCUACCAAGGCGAUGAUGCAUAGCCGACCUGAGAGGGUGAUCGGCCACAUUGGGACUGAGACACGGCCCAAACUCCUACGGGAGGCAGCAGUAGGGAAUCUUCCGCAAUGGACGCAAGUCUAACGGAGCAACGCCGCGUGAGUGAAGAAGGUCUUCGGAUCGUAAAGCUCUGUUGUUAGAGAAGAACAGCGCAUAGAGUAACUGUUAUGCGUGUGACGGUAUCUAACCAGAAAGCCACGGCUAACUACGUG